ACGGGGUGCAGCAGGCGCGAAAACUCCACAAUGUACGACAGUACGAUGGGGUUAUCUCGAGUGCAGUCCGAUAAGGGCUGCUUUUCCAUAGAGUAAUAUCCUGUGGGAAUAAGAGGGGGGCAAGACUGGUGUCAGCCGCCGCGGUAACACCAGCCCCUCGAGUGGUGGGGACUAUUAUUUGGCCUAAAGCGUCGCAUGCUGGCUGUAUCCGUCCCCCGUUAAAUCCAGCGUCCUAAGCGUUGGACUGCGGGUGAUACCAUACAGCUAGAGGGUGGGAUAGGUGAGCAGUAUUUCUGGGGUAGGGGCGAAAUCCUUUGAUCCCAGGAGGACCACCAGUGGCGAAGGCUGCUCACUAGAACACGCCUGACGGUCAGGGACGAAAGCUGGGGCAGCGAACCGGAUUAGAUACCCGGGUAGUCCCAGCUGUAAACGAUGCCAGCUAGGUGUUGGGUCGGCCACGCGCCGCCCCAGUGCCGCAGGGAAGCCGUUAAGCUGGCCGCCUGGGGAGUACGGCCGCAAGGCUGAAACUUAAAGGAAUUGGCGGGGGAGCAC
This 552-nucleotide ribosomal RNA is filed under the name uncultured archaeon. Its description in RNAcentral is "bacterial SSU rRNA". It matches the Rfam family "Archaeal small subunit ribosomal RNA", at positions 325 to 879 of the family's 1478-position model. The record is from RNAcentral.